GACGAACGCUGGCGGCGUGCUUAACACGUGCAAGUCGAACGGUGAAGCGCCUUCCUUUUUGGUGGGUGUGGAUGAGUGGCGAGCGGGUGAGUAACACGUGAGUAACCUGCCCCCUUCUUCUGGAUAACCGCAUGAAAGUGUGGCUAAUACGGGAUAUUCUGGGUCUGUCGCAUGAUGGGUCUGGGAAAGAUAUUGUUUCGGUGGGGGAUGGGCUCGCGGCCUAUCAGCUUGUUGGUGGGGUGAUGGCCUACCAAGGCGGUGACGGGUAGCCGGCCUGAGAGGGUGGACGGUCACACUGGGACUGAGACACGGCCCAGACUCCUACGGGAGGCAGCAGUGGGGAAUAUUGCACAAUGGGCGCAAGCCUGAUGCAGCGACGCCGCGUGAGGGAUGGAGGCCUUCGGGUUGUGAACCUCUUUCGCCAGUGAAGCAGGCCUGCCUCGUUUGUGGGUGGGUUGACGGUAGCUGGAUAAGAAGCGCCGGCUAGCUACGUG
RNAcentral lists this ribosomal RNA (494 nucleotides) under uncultured bacterium. RNAcentral describes it as "partial 16S ribosomal RNA". It matches the Rfam family "Bacterial small subunit ribosomal RNA", at positions 28 to 507 of the family's 1533-position model. The record is from RNAcentral.